GACGAACGCUGGCGGCGUGCUUAACACAUGCAAGUCGAACGGAAAGGCCCUGCUUUUGUGGGGUGCUCGAGUGGCGAACGGGUGAGUAACACGUGAGUAACCUGCCCUUGACUUUGGGAUAACUUCAGGAAACUGGGGCUAAUACCGGAUAGGAGCUCCUGCUGCAUGGUGGGGGGUGGAAAGUUUCGGCGGUUGGGGAUGGACUCGCGGCUUAUCAGCUUGUUGGUGGGGUAGUGGCUUACCAAGGCUUUGACGGGUAGCCGGCCUGGGAGGGUGACCGGCCACAUUGGGACUGAGAUACGGCCCAGACUCCUACGGGAGGCAGCAGUGGGGAAUAUUGCACAAUGGGCGGAAGCCUGAUGCAGCAACGCCGCGUGCGGGAUGACGGCCUUCGGGUUGUAAACCGCUUCCGCCUGUGACGAAGCGUGAGUGACGGUAAUGGGUAAAGAAGCACCGGCUAACUACGUG
Molecule: ribosomal RNA, 468 nt
Filed under: uncultured bacterium
Lineage: Bacteria
Description: partial 16S ribosomal RNA
Rfam family: Bacterial small subunit ribosomal RNA
Source: RNAcentral